Molecule: non-coding RNA, 29 nt
Filed under: Rattus norvegicus (Norway rat)
Lineage: Eukaryota; Metazoa; Chordata; Mammalia; Rodentia; Muridae
Source: RNAcentral
UAAGACCCUGCAAUUGCAAACGGUGGCCU